Molecule: ribosomal RNA, 4593 nt
Filed under: Triticum aestivum (bread wheat)
Lineage: Eukaryota; Viridiplantae; Streptophyta; Magnoliopsida; Poales; Poaceae
Description: partial small subunit ribosomal RNA
Source: RNAcentral
AUGGAGGACCAAGCAAGUGUCCUGGAAGAUAUACUGAAUGGAGCUGAGGAACCAAAGGAUCUGCCGUUAACACUGUUAGAGCAUAUCACGGGUAAUUUCUCUGAAGACAGAAAAAUUGGUCAGGGUGGAUUUGGAGAGGUCUACCAGGGUGAACUACGAAAGGGGGUUGUUGUCGCUGUGAAGAGGAUGUAUGUGAACGAACACACUGUUAAUGACGUGGCAUUUCGUCGGGAGGUUAAAAGUCUGAUGAAGAUCAAUCAUCAAAAUGUUGUCCGGUUUCUUGGCUUCUGCUCUAGUGCACGUCAGAUUUACAAAAAAGUGGACGGGUCAACAGAUCCUAACUUCAUCAACGUAAGAGAAAGAUUGCUCUGUUUGGAGUACAUCAACAAUGGUAGUCUUGAUAAGCAUAUUAAUGAUGAAUUAAGGGGACUUGAAUGGGAAACACGUUAUGACAUAAUCACCGGAAUUUGCAAGGGUCUGACUCAUCUCAAUGAAAAUAAUAUUAUUCAUAUGGACCUUAAACCGGCAAACAUAUUACUCGAUGAUCAUAUGAUUCCAAAGAUCACUGAUUUUGGUUUGUCAAGACCAGAUGAAAACUCACAUACUACGGGUCAACGUUUUGGAACACGAGGAUAUUUUGCUCCAGAAUACGAGAAGUUUGGCAAAACUUCAUUUGAGUGUGACAUAUAUAGUUUGGGUAUCAUAAUCAUAGAAUUGGUAACAGGGCGUAAGGGCACUGCUGAAAAGGAGAAAGUACUUCGAAGGUGGAGACACAGGUGGAAUAAGCCACCAACAUUGCCGCAAUACCACCAAGUAACUAGAUGCCUUGACGUAGCAGUACGCUGUAUGGAAGAAGAACCAGGACAUAGACCUUCUAUAUCGGAAAUAAUCAGAAUUCUGAGUGAAACUGCAAGGACGGAUGGGCACAUUGGCCAGGAAAGCACUUAUUUGGAUGAUGACAUGCUUCGUAUUGAGCCACUCGAGCUUAAGCAUAACCAGGAGAUGUCAUGGUCAGUGAAGAUAACCAACAAGACAAACGCAUGUUUUGCCUUCAACAUUAAAGGACCAAGCAAGCAGUACAACAUAUAUCCAGACAAAGGCAUUGUGACAGCAGGAUGCAAUGGGUGUUUUGUUAAAAUAACAGUGAGGGCAUCACAAGUUACACAGAAUGGGGACAGGUUCAUCGUACGGAGCACAAAAGUGAGUCAGGGUCUUACACCUGAGGAUAUCACUGAACAUGUAUUCCAUGAAGAGCCUCCCAGUAAAGUGGUCGAUGAGGUGGAUUUGAUCAUUUUAAAUGAGACUACGGACUUUCUAGAAAAUAUCAGGAGUAGAGAAGACACAAACAUGUCAGCUGAGGAAGUCCAUGAGGCAAAAAGGUGGAAAAUUGCUGAGUCUGUUUCUAGGAAGGGCAAAAUGAAAGUUUGUUGCAGCGAAAAUGAAGAGGCAACUUCCAAUGACAUCAAUUCAAGUGCGCGAGGACAAUCUACCAAGCAAAAAGAGCAGUUUAAUUUGCACCCACUACAAAGCUUUUCACGCAAUUAUCCUACCAACUUGAGAUACCUCGAGAAUUCAAACAACCGAGCCGUGGAUCUCCGAACGGGGGCUAUGGGAAGUCUGCUCGACAAGAUGGGCAAGCUCCUUGGGGAGGACAACAGUCUAGAGGAUAACAUCAAGAAGGAUAUCAAGUCUUUUUCAGAAAAGCUGAGGAAGAUGGACCAAACCCUCCGCAAGUUGGGAAAGCUUGAUGGUGUCAAGAUUUGGGUUGACCUAGUGAGGGCAUUAUCAUACAAUAUAGAGGAUAUGGUGGAUGGCUUCCUCGUGCACGUCGAGCCUCUCCCUAGCAGUGGCUUCAGGGAGCUCAAGAAUGAGGGGCUAAAGCUUUGGAAGAAUGGCAUGAUCGCCCACCAUAAGAUUGGUGAUGUGAUCAGAGACAUCAAGAACCAAGUCCAGGAGGUUGCCAACAUGCAGGAGAAUUAUAAUUUUGAUGUCAGUAAUAUUGUAGCAAAUGCCACUACGAAAGCUGUCAUUAACAUUCGAAUUUCAGCUAGAUAUGUUGACGAAGGACAACUCAUUAGGAUCGAAGCACGAAGAGGUGAGCUAAUAAGUCUGUUUGAUAAGGACGGUGAUGUACCCAAUGAAAACCUCAAGAUAGUCUCUAUCGUCGGAAUGGGAGGAUUGGGCAAAACUACUCUUGCAAAUGCAGUGUAUAAGAAGAUUGAAGCAGAGUACCGCUAUAGAGCUUUUGUUUCUGUUGGCCAGAAUCCUGAUGUUGAGAAAGUUUUGAAGAACAUUCUUUCUAAACUAGUAAUGGAUUUCAAUGCAGCAAACUUGGAUGAGUGGCAGGUCAUUGAUAAACUCCAAGAUUUGCUCAACAACGAGAGAUACCUCAUAGUAAUUGAUGAUGUAUGGGAUUCAUCUUCAUGGAAUAUUAUUAAAUCUGCUCUUCCAAGAAACUGUUAUGGCAGUAGAGUGAUAACAACAACAAGGAUUGAACAUGUUGCUCUUGCUUGUUGCAAUUUUGACAUAAAAUAUGUUUAUAAGAUCAAGGAACUCAGUGUCGAAGACUCAAAAAGUCUAUUAUUUAGCAGAAUAUUUGGAACUGACAAAGGUUGGCCUCUUACACCCAAAAUAGAAGAGAUUUCCAUUAGUAUUCUGAAGACAUGUGGUGGUAUGCCACUUGCUAUUAAUAGUAUAGCAAGCCUUAUAGCUUGCGAUAAGUCAGAGCCUAACUGGGAAUAUGUAUGGAAAUCCUUGCAUGGUAUGGUUGAAGGAAAUACUGGUCUUGGAAAUCUCGAGCACAUAUUGGAUCUUAGCUACAUACAUCUUCCUGAUCCUCUCAAGGCAUGUCUGCUUUAUGUGAGCAAGUAUCAAGAGGAUCAUGAGAUAGAUAAAAAUGAUUUGUUGAGGCAAUGGGUGGCUGAAGGUUUCGUGCCUGUGAAUAAUAACAGUGUGUUGGAUGCAGAGGACAUUGCAGAAGACUACUUCAAAAAGCUCAUCAGCAUGUGUUUGAUCCAGCCGGUUAACACAGACUACAACAAUGAAGUGUUGUCUUGUAAAGUACAUGAUAUAGUCCUUGACCUGAUGAGAUCCAAGUCAACUGAAAUGAAUUUUAUUCAUGCAAUUGAUCAUUUGAAAGAUGUGACAGGGGAGAUCCGUAGAGUCUCAGUCUCAGUCUCAUCACGUAACAGAGAUGAUGAUACAAAAAUUAUGGAAUUAAUAAAUAAAAAGUCACUGUCACAUGUCCGGUCAGUCUUGCUUUACCAACACUCAGCUGAGAGCGUGUCACUUUUGCCCGGUUUUCUGGAGUUGAAGUAUCUCCGAGUUGUAGAGCUUGAAGACUUCAGUUAUGUAAACAAGGAUCUAAACCUCACCAGUAUUAGUGGGUUGCUUCUCCUAAGGUACUUAAAGGUUGUUUCCCAUCGUUUUAAACAUUUGAAGUUACCUAAUCAAAUAGGGGAGCUGCAACAAUUGGAGACAAUAGAACUUAGGGGCUUUUCCCUGAAAACUUAUCCAUCAGAUAUUAUUAGUCUUCCCUGGUUAUCGCAUCUCGAAUAUAGAAAUGUUGGUUCUUGUGUAGUCUUGCCUGAGGGGAUCGACAGGCUGAAAUCCCUGCGCACCCUGGUAGGUGUAGAUGUGUAUACAAGCUCAGUAAAAAAUAUCUAUGGCCUCAGCAAGCUGACCAAGUUGAGAAAACUUGACAUUGGUUUAAGCACGAAUAUUGAAGAUAACGAAGCGAACAAUACGCGUACAGCUGCCUUGCACUCUUCUAUCUCCAAGCUUUCCGCCAGCCUCAGGAUCUUUACUUUGGCAAAUGAAAAUUGGAAAAUAGAAGAUGUCCGGGGCUGGAGCAGCACACCAUUAUUCCCUGCAGGUUCUCAUAUUCGGGAGCUUGAUCUGCGGUCCUGCAAUUUUGAAACUUGCCCGGAGUGGAUUGGUCAGCUCUACGGCCUCACCAGCUUAAGAAUUAGUGUGCGGGAGGUUGCUGACGGUGUCAGUAUUGUUGCAAGUUUGCCUUCACUUGUCGUCUUCCAUUUGGAUUGUGCUCUUAUAGCUGGGGAAACGGAAGAACGUGUUGUCAUCUCUGGCAAUGACUGGGCAUUCAAAGCACUCAAGCACCUGAGAUUCCAUUGUGCAUUGGCUCCAGUCACCUUUGAAGCAGGGGCUAUGCCCUUGCUAGAGAAGCUUCAAAUGUUGUUCCGUUCUGACAUGACUCCCCAAUUCUUACCGUCUGGCAUCAAGCACUUGCCAUCUGGUACCCUCAAACAAAUUAAUUUAGAAGUAACUUCUUUAGGGAGGAUUGGAGACCUAAAAAAUUGGGAAACUCGGAUGGAUUCUUAUGAGGCCAAAUGGGAAAAAGAAAUAAGAAAGUUGAGGCCCAUGUUGAAGAGAGAAUUCGAGAAGCACCAUGGUGGGGCCUACAUUGUCUUUGACAAUGAAGAAGAAUAUGAAAAACAUGAUGAAGUAGAAGAUGAGGGUGUUAAUGAUGAAGAAGAUUAUGAGGAAGAUGAUGAUGAAACAGAUGAGGACGAUGUUGACGAAGAAGAAGAUGAGGCAACUUAUCAAGAGAAUGGAUCUCAAACUCCAUUGUAA